UACGUAGGGUCCGAGCGUUAUUCGGUAUUAUUGGGCGUAAAGAGUACGUAGGCGGUCUGGUAAGUCAAUGGUUAAAGCCCCGAGCCCAACUCGGGAACUGCCGUCGAUACUGCCAGACUUGACGAUAGCAGGGGCAAGCGGAAUUCUCGGUGUAGGAGUGAAAUCCGUUGAGAUCGAGAAGAACACCAAUGGCGAAGGCAGCUUGCUAGGCUAUAUGUGACGCUGAGGUACGAAAGCGUGGGGAGCGAACGGG
Molecule: ribosomal RNA, 253 nt
Filed under: uncultured bacterium
Lineage: Bacteria
Description: partial 16S ribosomal RNA
Rfam family: Bacterial small subunit ribosomal RNA
Source: RNAcentral